AGGCACGUAGCUCAGUUGGUUAGAGCACCACCUUGACAUGGUGGGGGUCAGCGGUUCGAAUCCGCUCGUGCCUACCA
Molecule: transfer RNA, 77 nt
Filed under: Halopseudomonas salina
Lineage: Bacteria; Pseudomonadati; Pseudomonadota; Gammaproteobacteria; Pseudomonadales; Pseudomonadaceae
Also listed under: 2 other names
Description: tRNA-Val
Rfam family: tRNA
About the family: Transfer RNA (tRNA) molecules are approximately 80 nucleotides in length. Their secondary structure includes four short double-helical elements and three loops (D, anti-codon, and T loops).
Source: RNAcentral